AGAGUUUGAUCCUGGCUCAGGACGAACGCUGGCGGCGCGCCUAACACAUGCAAGUCGAACGAGCGAGAGAGAGCUUGCUUUCUCGAGCGAGUGGCGAACGGGUGAGUAACGCGUGAGGAACCUGCCUCAAAGAGGGGGACAACAGUUGGAAACGACUGCUAAUACCGCAUAAGCCCACGGGUCGGCAUCGACCAGAGGGAAAAGGGGCAAUCCGCUUUGAGAUGGCCUCGCGUCCGAUUAGCUAGUUGGUGAGGUAACGGCCCACCAAGGCGACGAUCGGUAGCCGGACUGAGAGGUUGAACGGCCACAUUGGGACUGAGACACGGCCCAGACUCCUACGGGAGGCAGCAGUGGGGAAUAUUGCACAAUGGGGGAAACCCUGAUGCAGCGACGCCGCGUGGAGGAAGAAGGUCUUCGGAUUGUAAACUCCUGUUGUUGAGGAAGAUAAUGACGGUACUCAACAAGGAAGUGACGGCUAACUACGUGCCAGCAGCCGCGGUAAAACGUAGGUCACAAGCGUUGUCCGGUAUUACUGGGUGUAAAGGGAGCGCAGGCGGGAAGACAAGUUGGAAGUGAAAUCCAUGGGCUUAACCCAUGAACUGCUUUCAAAACUGUUUUUCUUGAGUAGUGCAGAGGUAGGCGGAAUUCCCGGUGUAGCGGUGGAAUGCGUAGAUAUCGGGAGGAACACCAGUGGCGAAGGCGGCCUACUGGGCACCAACUGACGCUGAGGCUCGAAAGUGUGGGUAGCAAACAGGAUUAGAUACCCUGGUAGUCCACACUGUAAACGAUGAUUACUAGGUGUUGGAGGAUUGACCCCUUCAGUGCCGCAGUUAACACAAUAAGUAAUCCACCUGGGGAGUACGACCGCAAGGUUGAAACUCAAAGGAAUUGACGGGGGCCCGCACAAGCAGUGGAGUAUGUGGUUUAAUUCGACGCAACGCGAAGAACCUUACCAAGUCUUGACAUCCGUUGACCGCUGUAGAAAUACAGUUUUCCUUCGGGACAGCGAGACAGGUGGUGCAUGGUUGUCGUCAGCUCGUGUCGUGAGAUGUUGGGUUAAGUCCCGCAACGAGCGCAACCCUUAUGGUCAGUUACUACGCAAGAGGACUCUGGCCAGACUGCCGUUGACAAAACGGAGGAAGGUGGGGAUGACGUCAAAUCAUCAUGCCCUUUAUGACUUGGGCUACACACGUACUACAAUGGCGUUAAACAAAGAGAAGCAAGACCGCGAGGUGGAGCAAAACUCAGAAACAACGUCCCAGUUCGGACUGCAGGCUGCAACUCGCCUGCACGAAGUCGGAAUUGCUAGUAAUCGUGGAUCAGCAUGCCACGGUGAAUACGUUCCCGGGCCUUGUACACACCGCCCGUCACACCAUGAGAGCCGGGGGGACCCGAAGUCGGUAGUCUAACCGCAA
RNAcentral lists this ribosomal RNA (1415 nucleotides) under metagenome. Its description in RNAcentral is "bacterial SSU rRNA". It matches the Rfam family "Bacterial small subunit ribosomal RNA". The record is from RNAcentral.